Podarcis lilfordi (Lilford's wall lizard) is the source of this 704-nucleotide non-coding RNA. The record is from the annotation of a GenBank genome assembly. Lineage: Eukaryota; Metazoa; Chordata; Lepidosauria; Squamata; Lacertidae.
GUGUAUAAAAGGGCUUAGCCGAGGUUUGAGUUAGUUGUUGUUGGGAGCUGUUGGUGGGUAGUUGGUUGGUUUUAGUGGGUUGGCUGGUUGGGAAAGGCAGUUGGAGAAGCAGUUGGCAGGUAGUUGGAAAUGGAGAGACAGUUAGGGCAGUGGGUUCUUGAGUGAGGGGAGAUAGAAGAGAUAGAGAGAGGAAAAUAAGACUAAGAAAGUAAAGAGUAACAACGUUUGGAAUGCCGGAAAAGUUUGUUUGUUUCUGAAAUAAAAUACACUCUUCUUUACUAAUUGAGAACCUGACUGAGGCUGAAGUGAUUUUACCAGGGAGGACCUGGUUGAUGGGAGCGGAUUAGUGGUGUACGGGUCAAUAGUCCGUGAGACGACCGGGGGCUCUGUACGAACGCCACACACACCAACUUGGGGAAGUAGUUAUCACCUUUCUGCUACCCAGAAGACCGUUCGAGUUCCGAAACGUUCAAAAACCGAGGCACAAAGGGUGGCCUGCCAAUUCAACAGAGAAAAUUGUGAAAAACAACAGAUACACGCAACAGAAGCCGUUCAACUUCCGAGGCGGGUUCGAAAACGGAAACAUUUACUUCUGGGUUUUCAGCGUUCGAAAACCGAAACGUUUGGCAGUGGAGACGUCCAAAAACCAAGGUAUUAAGAUCAUAAGCCCACCUCCUGGUGCAUAUCUACAAUUUAUGCUCUAU